CUUCUGACCAGAGCGACCUGUAUUCUCAAUGUUAUGGCCUAGAUGGAGAAUGUCUCCCAAAAGCCUCGUUGUUCAGGGACAGGGUUUUCGGAAGCCCCUGCAUUGGUCUGCUGGUCCCGGAGAACAUUCAUUCUGUCCUGAGGGUUUCCAUAAAGUCCCCCAGGGAGAUGCUCAUGGAGGUGAACCCUGGCCCGUAGCAUUCUAGAAGAUCUUCAGCACCAUCCCUUGACCGUCAGCUCUGCCACGUGAGCCCUUCAAGGCAGCACCUGUGGCCUUACUUUGGGGAAAGGAGAAAAGGAUCAUCUGACUUCAAUAAAGUUUCCCAAAAGUUUACCAGCGUGUAAAAUGCUCCAUUGUACCCAGAUGCCUGUGGGAUG
RNAcentral lists this long non-coding RNA (377 nucleotides) under Fukomys damarensis (Damara mole-rat). Its description in RNAcentral is "lncRNA (ENSFDAG00000029897.1)". Lineage: Eukaryota; Metazoa; Chordata; Mammalia; Rodentia; Bathyergidae. The record is from RNAcentral.